GCCUGAAGGAUUCUCUUCUCGUUCAACGUGUGUUCGAUCUGCUUGAGCUUCACCACCUGGAAUGGGGAGAAGAGGGAGAAAGGAAUAUACUGUGAGCUUUACUACACUUACUCAGCUGCUGUAGAAGAGAGCGGUCUCAAAUACAGCAGCCCCACACAUCAAGCCACUAGAGGUCCUCGCUGCCACAUUGACUCUGACUCUGAACAGCUGAACAGCUCUGCCCAGGUUAAUACAGCCCCGACAUGGACAUGAAUUUACAGUACCUCCAGAGAACCGAUGUGUUCUGCAAAUUACAGAAGACCCAAGAGUCUCCCUCCUUUUUACUUCAGUGGGAUGUGUGGAAUCAUACCCACACUGUUAUCACUCAGUUACACAGUAUAGAACUAUCCUCAUUUUUAUUAUAAACUGAUUUUUCUGACUCUUUUAUCAAUUUGCUCAGAUUGCAUUUAGCUAUUUGUUAUAGAUUGUUUAGAAUGUUUGGUAAUGAUAGAGACAGUUGGAUUUGCUGGAAAAUCUGUAUAAACUGUUCCUUUAGCUACCACUGAGCUUGAGAGUACAGCAGCGAAGAGCUGCAGGAAACCAAAUAGUCAGGAACAGGACUCCUUUACUCCACACACAUUACUUCUGAGAAUGAUGCACUUCUGCACUUUAGAAUGAUGGGUAACUCUAACCCUCAAGGACGUUUUUCCAGGCUUUACAAAUAGUAUAUGUCAAUUACCAGAAAAAACAUUUCUAAGAAAACUGAUGAUUUUACUUCUUAUCUAAAUAAGUAAUUGAAUCAGUUCGAGUUCUGGAGCUGGCUAUUCUGUUUAGUCAAAAAUGCCACAUACCCAUUUUCAGACUCUCUGAUGAUAUCAGGAUGACACCAGACUCCAGAUAAUUCACCAAUUAUGUGCAGCCCCAUGCUUCCUUAAAGUA
This is a long non-coding RNA of Lepisosteus oculatus (spotted gar), 918 nucleotides long. RefSeq lists it as uncharacterized. The record is from RefSeq and is a predicted model, not a curated record. NCBI's taxonomy places the organism in Eukaryota, Metazoa, Chordata, Actinopteri, Semionotiformes, Lepisosteidae.